UACGUAGGGUGCAGGCGUUAAUCGGAAUUACUGGGCGUAAAGCGUGCGCAGGCGGUCUGCUAAGACAGAUGUGAAAUCCCCGGGCUUAACCUGGGAACUGCAUUUGUGACUGCAUGGCUAGAGUGCGGCAGAGGGGGAUGGAAUUCCGCGUGUAGCAGUGAAAUGCGUAGAUAUGCGGAGGAACACCGAUGGCGAAGGCAAUCCCCUGGGCCUGCACUGACGCUCAUGCACGAAAGCGUGGGGAGCAAACAGG
This 253-nucleotide ribosomal RNA is filed under the name uncultured bacterium. RNAcentral's name for it is "partial 16S ribosomal RNA". It matches the Rfam family "Bacterial small subunit ribosomal RNA", at positions 524 to 776 of the family's 1533-position model. The record is from RNAcentral.